CCUACGGGAGGCAGCAGUGAGGAAUAUUGGUCAAUGGGCGCGAGCCUGAACCAGCCAAGUAGCGUGAAGGAUGACUGCCCUACGGGUUGUAAACUUCUUUUAUAAAGGAAUAAAGUGAGGCACGUGUGCCUUUUUGUAUGUACUUUAUGAAUAAGGAUCGGCUAACUCCGUGCCAGCAGCCGCGGUAAUACGGAGGAUCCGAGCGUUGUCCGGAUUUAUUGGGUUUAAAGGGAGCGUAGAUGGGUUGUUAAGUUAGUUGUGAAAGUUUUCGGCUCAACCGUAAAAUUGCAAUUGAUAAUGGCAGCAUUGAGUACAGUUGAGGUAGGCGGAAUUCGUGGUGUAGCGGUGAAAUGCUUAGAUAUCACGAAGAACUCCGAUUGCGAAGGCAGCUUACUAAACUGCCACUGACAUUGAUGCACGAAAGCGUGGGGAUCAAACAGGAUUAGAUACCCGUGUAGUC
Molecule: ribosomal RNA, 460 nt
Filed under: uncultured bacterium
Lineage: Bacteria
Description: partial 16S ribosomal RNA
Rfam family: Bacterial small subunit ribosomal RNA
Source: RNAcentral